Molecule: ribosomal RNA, 422 nt
Filed under: uncultured bacterium
Lineage: Bacteria
Description: bacterial SSU rRNA
Rfam family: Bacterial small subunit ribosomal RNA
Source: RNAcentral
GUAAAGCGCACGCAGGCGGUCUGUCAAGUCGGAUGUGAAAUCCCCGGGCUCAACCUGGGAACUGCAUUCGAAACUGGCAGGCUAGAGUCUUGUAGAGGGGGGUAGAAUUCCAGGUGUAGCGGUGAAAUGCGUAGAGAUCUGGAGGAAUACCGGUGGCGAAGGCGGCCCCCUGGACAAAGACUGACGCUCAGGUGCGAAAGCGUGGGGAGCAAACAGGAUUAGAUACCCUGGUAGUCCACGCCGUAAACGAUGUCGACUUGGAGGUUGUGCCCUUGAGGCGUGGCUUCCGGAGCUAACGCGUUAAGUCGACCGCCUGGGGAGUACGGCCGCAAGGUUAAAACUCAAAUGAAUUGACGGGGGCCCGCACAAGCGGUGGAGCAUGUGGUUUAAUUCGAUGCAACGCGAAGAACCUUACCUACUCU